GUGAGGAAUAUUGGUCAAUGGGCGAGAGCCUGAACCAGCCAUGCCGCGUGUGUGAAGAAGGCCUUUUGGUUGUAAAGCACUUUAAGCAGUGAAGAAGACCUAACGGUUAAUACCCGUUAGCGAUGACAUUAGCUGCAGAAUAAGCACCGGCUAACUCUGUGCCAGCAGCCGCGGUAAUACAGAGGGUGCAAGCGUUAAUCGGAAUUACUGGGCGUAAAGCGAGCGUAGGUGGCUUGAUAAGUCAGAUGUGAAAUCCCCGGGCUUAACCUGGGAACUGCAUCUGAUACUGUUGGGCUAGAGUAGGUGAGAGGGAGGUAGAAUUUCAGGUGUAGCGGUGAAAUGCGUAGAGAUCUGAAGGAAUACCGAUGGCGAAGGCAGCCUCCUGGCAUCAUACUGACACUGAGGUUCGAAAGCGUGGGUAGCAAACAGG
RNAcentral lists this ribosomal RNA (430 nucleotides) under uncultured bacterium. RNAcentral describes it as "bacterial SSU rRNA". It matches the Rfam family "Bacterial small subunit ribosomal RNA", at positions 354 to 776 of the family's 1533-position model. The record is from RNAcentral.